This 253-nucleotide ribosomal RNA is filed under the name uncultured bacterium. RNAcentral describes it as "partial 16S ribosomal RNA". It matches the Rfam family "Bacterial small subunit ribosomal RNA", at positions 524 to 776 of the family's 1533-position model. The record is from RNAcentral.
UACGUAGGGUGCAAGCGUUGUCCGGAAUCACUGGGCGUAAAGGGUGCGUAGGCGGGUCUUUAAGUCAGGGGUGAAAUCCUGGAGCUCAACUCCAGAACUGCCUUUGAUACUGAGGAUCUUGAGUUCGGGAGAGGUGAGUGGAACUGCGAGUGUAGAGGUGAAAUUCGUAGAUAUUCGCAAGAACACCAGUGGCGAAGGCGGCUCACUGGCCCGAUACUGACGCUGAGGCACGAAAGCGUGGGGAGCAAACAGG